Molecule: ribosomal RNA, 583 nt
Filed under: uncultured bacterium
Lineage: Bacteria
Description: bacterial SSU rRNA
Rfam family: Bacterial small subunit ribosomal RNA
Source: RNAcentral
GGGGGCACCUGAUCAGCAUGCCGCGUGAGUGAAGAAGGCCUUCGGGUUGUAAAGCUCUUUUGUCAGGGAAGAAACACCGGCUCUAACACAGUCCGGGAAUGACGGUACCUGAAGAAUAAGCACCGGCUAACUACGUGCCAGCAGCCGCGGUAAUACGUAGGGUGCGAGCGUUAAUCGGAAUUACUGGGCGUAAAGCGUGCGCAGGCGGUUAUACAAGACAGGCGUGAAAUCCCCGGGCUUAACCUGGGAAUGGCGCCUGUGACUGUAUAGCUAGAGUGUGUCAGAGGGGGGUAGAAUUCCACGUGUAGCAGUGAAAUGCGUAGAUAUGUGGAGGAAUACCAAUGGCGAAGGCAGCCCCCUGGGAUAACACUGACGCUCAUGCACGAAAGCGUGGGGAGCAAACAGGAUUAGAUACCCUGGUAGUCCACGCCCUAAACGAUGCUGACUAGUUGUUCGGGAUUUACAUCCUGAGUAACGUAGCUAACGCGUGAAGUCAGCCGCCUGGGGAGUACGGUCGCAAGAUUAAAACUCAAAGGAAUUGACGGGGACCCGCACAAGCGGUGGAUGAUGUGGAUUAAUUCGA